Molecule: non-coding RNA, 213 nt
Filed under: Afipia sp. P52-10
Lineage: Bacteria; Pseudomonadati; Pseudomonadota; Alphaproteobacteria; Hyphomicrobiales; Nitrobacteraceae
Also listed under: 1 other name
Source: RNAcentral
CCUAUAGUCCGUCGCGACGGUUCCCCUUGGGGAUUAAACGGGAACGCAGAAGCCGAACGCUCCGACACUGAGCACACGGCGAUGCUGCGGCUGCCCCCGCAACUGUGAGCGGUGAAUCUAUCGCCAAAAGGCCACUGGAAAGGACCUUUCCGGGAAGGCGGCGGUGGAUACUGAUCCGUGAGCCAGGAGACCUGCCGUCGGACGUGGUCACAC